AGGGUGCGUCACCGGAGCAGAUGCCCGGGGCGGUUGGAGGCUCCCGGGCUCCCGCUGACUCAUCAGAAAGGCCUGCCGCGCGGCCCGGGGGGCGGGGGAACGUGGGGGACCGCGGGGAGCUGCCGGGCAGGCGGCAGCCGAGGUCGUUUGAGGCGCGCAGAGCCGGAAAACCCCACGGAGACGGCUGGGCGGGGGCGGGGCGAUCGGCACUGACCAGGUCACCUGCAGCGCGGGCUGACGGCGGGCGACUGAAGGAGGGAGCAAGUCUCCCACCCCCAGCAGCCGGCGGCCGCUUCCGAAGUCUGCCCCCUUCCACUGCGGAGCGGCGCCCCGCGGGCCCCCAGCCAGCGCGCCCGAGGCGCCCCCGCCCCGUGUCGCUCGCGCUGCGUUAUUGGGAGAAGGCGGUUCCUGAGCACCAGCACGGGCCUCGGUGACACCGGAGGUCGCUGGGGUCUUCCCCUUCCCCUUAAGACUCUGGGUCUGUCUGUGGGAAGAGCUUUCAUUCCCCACCCCACUCUAUGCCGACCCUCUCCGGGGGAGGCUCCACUGGCACUGUAGACACCACGUGCUGGGUAAAAAGGCCUGGUCCCAGCGCUUCCCUGUCACUGACUGCUAACCACAAGGCGCCGUGGCACUCAGGAAAUGCGGCAGGGGGGCUGGAGAACUAUCAGGAAGGGGUGUGGGCAGAGAAGAGGCUUCCACCCUGUCUUGGAACACGGACACAGUCCAUGGCAUUCAAAAGAGGUGGGAGGCUCCUCUGUGCACGUGCCUUCCGCCCCCGGGACAGGUGGAGGAGGGGAUUUGACUGGUCCUCACCCUCUGCAUUUAUAGUCUGGGCACACCUUGGGCAGUGCCGCAGGAGGGCGCUGUGGAGUACAGGCACAUGCAGAAGGUGUGGCGAGGGCUUCCUGGUGGAGCUGGCAGUAGGGCAGGGACCUUGAAAAGGAAUGAUUUGAACAGAUCGGAAAAGACAUUCCAGACAGAAACAAAUGCCUGAAACCCAAACCGAGAAGCAGGAAAGAGCAGACUGCGUUCUCGGAAUGGCAGGGAGUCCAGUUUGACUGGAAGACCUGAGGCUCAGAGGCGCAUCACGGCCCAGAUGCAGACCACAGAGGCAGGCACAGUGGCCCAGGAGGACCGAGGACCUGGAGUCACGGGGUUCCGCCCGCUGCCCCUGGGGAACCGAGUCAUGCCAGUUCCCAGACAGAUGAAUUCCUUCCAAGAAUUCCACAGUCCUGCUCAAUCCUAGCCGCCAAGCCUCCUGGCCUUGGAUGGCUGCUGUCUAAUGCAGAUCCUCUUUCAUCCAGAUUUCAAAUAUUUUUCCUAUUCUGUCCUUUGAUCACUAACGUUUAUGUUUAUCUACAUCAGCAUCCCUCAAUCCUGACGGCACUCUGAAAUUAUCUAGGGGUGCUUUAAAAAAGAAAAAUGUUGAUGCAUGGCCCUCCUCCAGGAAAUCUGAUUUUAUUGGUCUGGGGUGGGGCCCAGGCAUCAGCAGACUUUUAAUGAGCAGUUAGAGAGGAGAACCACUGAUGGAGAUGGUCACCAGGGAGUGUCCAGGUCAGACCGCCACAGAAGAGUGCAGCCUCCUGGCCUUCAGACCCAACUGGGACAAACCCUGAGAACAGCCUUGGCAGACCUCCAGGGGCAGCUGGACUCCCUGAGGCUGGAUGUUGCAGCCUCUCCCAGGCAUCCACUCUGCAGCUGAGGCCAAAGUUUCCAACGGGAAGGGAGGGAGAGUCUCCGAGUCUGGGCCUUGCCACUCCUCACUCAGCAUCUGACCAUCCCCACCUCCUGGAUCUACAGGGUUCAUAGAGGAGGACCCAGAAGAGGGAAAGUCAGGCUGAGGAACUUGGCCUCCCUGCUGCAAGGGAAAUGACAUCGGUUACCAAGGAGGUGACCAGCUAUCCUUUUCCAAGACUGAAAAGCAGAAAUACGGCCCUGAGGCUAGAGGGUCUAAGAGAACAAUAGGAAGAAUUUCCUGACAAAGGACAAUGUUGCCUAAAGGACUCAGGAAGCUCUGUGAAAACAGGAGACUCCCGAGCAGAGCACCAGACCCUUCUCCACCAGGCAGUGUUUUUCCCAUAUGACAGGUGAGAAAACUGAGGCUGAGAGACAUGUAAUAACUUGCUGAAGCAGCAACCAGCACACCAUAUAGCUGAAAUCUGUAGAUCAGCAGUUAAAAGUGGUAGGGCAAGUCCUCUCUGACUUUCAGCGCUAAGAGCCUAGGAUUCUGUGUUUUUCUGCUUAAGCCUGGGAAUCAGAGUCCUACAAAAGCCGCGCCUAAUCCUGGGGGUGUGGGCUUUAAACCCAGAGAGAAAGCAUGUUAUUGGAAUACUCCUGCACUUUUCUCCCUUUGAAUCCCACCACGGAAAGAAAAUUCUGUGACGUGUACCCAGUAUUUAUUGGAGGGUAUUUCCUAGCAAGAAAAUGAGGGCGAUUGACCAGGCACGGUGGCUCACGCCUGUAAUCCCAGCACUUUGGGAGGUCAAGGUGAGUGGAUCACAUGAGGUCAGGAGUUCGAGACCAGCCUGACCAACAUGGAGAAACCCCGUCUCUACUAAAAAUACAAAAUUAGCCGGGCGUGGGGUGGCGCAUGCCUGUAAUUCCAGCUACUCCUGAGGCUGUGGCAGCAGAAUCGCUUGAACCCGGGAGACAGAGGUUGCAGUGAGUUGAGAUCAAGCCAUCGCACUCCAGCCUGGGCAACAGAGUGAGACUCUGUCAAAAAAGAAAGUGUGGUACAUCUAUACUAAUGGAGUACUAUUUAGCCGUCAAAG
RNAcentral lists this long non-coding RNA (2774 nucleotides) under Homo sapiens (human). Its description in RNAcentral is "non-protein coding GASAL1:21". Lineage: Eukaryota; Metazoa; Chordata; Mammalia; Primates; Hominidae. The record is from RNAcentral.